UUUAAAUAAUAAUUUUUAUGUUAUAUAUUAUUUAUUUGGUAUAAUGUCUUUUGAGAAUAGAUGGAAUUCUCCACUAUCAUCACGCACAUCUAAGGUAUUAAGAUUCUGGGCCGGGCGCGGUGGCUCAAGCCUGUAAUCCCAGCACUUUGGAAGGCCGAGGCUGGUGGAUCACCUGAGGCCAGGAAUUCAAGACCAACCUGGCCAACAUGGUGAAACCCCAUCUUUACAAAAAGUACAAAAAUUAUUAGCCGGGCAUCAUGGGGACUGCCUGCAAUCCCAGUUACUCAGGAGGUUGAGG
RNAcentral lists this long non-coding RNA (298 nucleotides) under Pan troglodytes (chimpanzee). RNAcentral describes it as "long non-coding RNA NONPTRT002578". Lineage: Eukaryota; Metazoa; Chordata; Mammalia; Primates; Hominidae. The record is from RNAcentral.